CUUCGAAUCGAUAAAAAAAAAAACAAUCCGUUGCCAAAAAAAAAAAACGAAAAAAAAGAGGACCAAACAAGCCGCCAGCUGGGCCGUUCUGCGGGUAUAGAGAAGUGAAGCGAAGAAGCGAUUUGGAGCUCUUUCAUUAAGCUGGUAAACGAGAUUCCGAGGAAUCAGCGAAAUCCUGACUGCAGAAGGGCUGCGAACGGAGGCCUCGAGACAUCGUUCCCAUGAGCGAGAUGGGUCAAUACCACGCUCCGAGAACUCUCUGGCAAGACGUGAUCGGUAAACAUUGCCCUGUAUUUGCUGUUAAUCGCGAGGUGUUGAUCCCGAUACCAAAACCGGCAGAUUAUACGGGUACUGAUCCAGACAAAAUAGGUACUCAGGGAGCAUUCUACACGGGGUCACUGCAAAAGUUGUCGACAUGCCUUACCACUCCAUAAUUGUUUUUCUAUAAAGCUUUUUGAUCUGCACAAGCUAUGCAAAGCAUGUUCUUGCUAUUGAUUGUCCUGGCUUAUUAAAAUCCAUCCAAAUAUUCUUAAGCAAUUCUGGGACCCUCAACAUUGGCCUAAGCAUGUUCUUGUAAGGUAAACAUGGGAGGAACAAUCAGAGAUAGAUGUUACUUCUGGAUUCUAUGUCUUGUUUGGGUCAGUUAAUUAUUUCUGCUCAAACUGAAAGCAGCAGGGUUGAUGUUGUCUUUCAUUCUCUCAAUCUGUAUCUUGCAGUCAUCACGAGACAAAUUAGCAAGGUUUGUAAGGGAGACCGUUGCAGAAAGCAAAAUUCCUGCCGGAGGAGUGGCAAAAGUUGAAUAGGGAACUUUCAAAAGUUUCAACACAUUACAUGCACAAAUACAAUCAGUACCUCCUGAGAUCUGAAUAUUUAUGUGAAAGAGAAAUUUACAUCCUCUGGGCUUCAAGGAAACUUACAAGCUGAUAGAAGUGACAAAUAGGCUAUUAGCAAGAGUAGUUUGGUUAUUGUAGUGUGUUCAAUAGGUGAAUGCAUUCUGGCGUGCAAGAAAUAGUUUACAUACGCCAGGAAUUUAUUGGGCCUCAAUUUUGCACUCUUGUAGUAUGGUGGUGUUUUUCAUACUCGAAAAACUUGGUUUUUCAUUGGCUUCAA
Long non-coding RNA from Hevea brasiliensis (rubber tree), 1110 nucleotides. RefSeq lists it as uncharacterized. The transcript is spliced from 10 exons. The record is from RefSeq and is a predicted model, not a curated record. Lineage: Eukaryota; Viridiplantae; Streptophyta; Magnoliopsida; Malpighiales; Euphorbiaceae.